Tachysurus vachellii is the source of this 402-nucleotide long non-coding RNA. RefSeq lists it as uncharacterized. Lineage: Eukaryota; Metazoa; Chordata; Actinopteri; Siluriformes; Bagridae. The record is from RefSeq and is a predicted model, not a curated record. The transcript has 3 exons.
CACCAAGUCUGCUGCACUCUUUUUUUGUUUGUUUCUUUCUCUAACAAACCAGACAGAAACCAGAGAUGCCUGAAUCUGCAGACGUUCCCACUCAGUGCCAAGUCCUCAAAGAGGAGGUGGACAAAUGUGUCCAAGCGAAGGGUGCAGAAGCAUGCAAGGAGCUGUUGGAAGCUUUUGAGGCCUGUGUGAAAAGCAGCUUGAGCGCUUCAUGAGAAAAAAAGCUUCAUGUCUAAGGUCCUCUUCCUUCAGGUCCUUCAGCAUCCCUGCAUUCCCCACUGCCAUUGCUAAGACCAGCCUGAGGUGACGGUGCUGCCUGUUUCCUGGUCUGGAUCCCAGAGGUCUCAAUAAUGUUCUGAAUUUAUAAUGUAUGCAAAUGCAGCAGCAGGAGCUCACAGGAUUUGA